This 1452-nucleotide small RNA is filed under the name Acaulospora koskei. RNAcentral's name for it is "eukaryotic LSU rRNA". The stretch from base 684 to 1452 matches the Rfam family "Eukaryotic large subunit ribosomal RNA", at positions 1 to 673 of the family's 3401-position model. The record is from RNAcentral. Lineage: Eukaryota; Fungi; Glomeromycota; Glomeromycetes; Diversisporales; Acaulosporaceae.
CCUAGUAAGCGUGAGUCAUCAGCUCAUGUUGAUUACGUCCCUGCCCUUUGUACACACCGCCCGUCGCUACUACCGAUUGAAUGGCUUAGUGAGACUCUCGGAUCGGGUUUUGGGAACCGGCAACGGAUCCUUUCUUCUGAGAAGUUUGUCAAACUUGGUCAUUUAGAGGAAGUAAAAGUCGUAACAAGGUUUCCGUAGGUGAACCUGCGGAAGGAUCAUUAGAAUAUUCGGGAAUUUUUUCCCUAAAUAUCUUAUUCAAAAAAUUUCCAUCCUAUUAAAAAUAUAAUUUUUUAAAUUUUAUCAAUAAAAAAUAAAGACAACUUUCAACAACGGAUCUCUUGGCUCUUGCAUCGAUGAAGAACGCAGUGAAAUGCGAUACGUAAUGUGAAUUGCAGAAUUCCGUGAAUCAUCAAAUCUUUGAACGCAAAUUGCACUCCUUGGUAUUCCGAGGAGUAUGCUUGCUUGAGGGUCGAAUCAUAUUAUCGUUUUUUAACGGAUCUGGGUUUUUCCAAGUUUUUUUAAACCUUGGUAACCUAAAAUUUAUCUUAAUAAUAUUUGUAAUAUUGAAAAUGUGUAUCUUACGUUCACGUGAGUUUAUUGACAAUUAUUAUGAAUUUAUUACGUCGUAUUAUUCACCCGGUUUUUUUAACGAUCGGGGCGAAAUAAUACAAUUUUUUAAAAUUCGACCUCAAGUCAAGUAAGAAUACCCGCUGAACUUAAGCAUAUCAAUAAGCGGAGGAAAAGAAACUAACAAGGAUUCCCUUAGUAACGGCGAGUGAACUGGGAAGAGCUCAAAUUUAAAAUCAUCAGGGUUUCCUUGAUGAGUUGUAAUUUGAAGAAAGUGUUUUGAUGUUCGGGUUUCAUCUAAAUCCUUUGGGAUAAGGUAUCAUAGAGGGUGAGAAUCCCGUUCGUGAUUAAACCUCGGAUGCCACUUAAUUCAUUUUCUAAGAGUCGAGUUGUUUGGGAUUGCAGCUCAAAAUGGGUGGUAAAUUUCACCUAAGGCUAAAUAUAUGCGAGAGACCGAUAGCGAACAAGUACCGUGAGGGAAAGAUGAAAAGAACCUUGAAAAGAGAGUUAAAUAGUACGUGAAAUUGUUGAAAGGGAAACGAUUGAAGUCAGUCAUGCUAGUGAGGAAUCAACUCGGUGGUUUUCUUCCGGGUGUACUUUCUCGCCUGGCAGGUUAGCAUCAAUUUCGUUCAUCAUUAAAUGAUCGGGGUAAUGUGGCUUCUCUUCGGAGUAGUGUUAUAGACCUUGGUAGAUGUGAUGAUCGGGAUUGAGGAUUGCAGCGAAUGCUAUUUGGCUAGUCCCCUGAUUUCUGAUGGUCACCUCGCCUUCGACAGCUUGCUGACGUGGGUGGGUUCUGAUUGUCUAGAUGUUAGUGUGAUCAUAUAUUCGCUAAGGAUGCUGACGUAAUGGCUUUAAACGACCCGUCUUGAAACACGGACCAAGGAG